Canis lupus familiaris (dog) is the source of this 3539-nucleotide RNA transcript. It is a transcript of the gene named transmembrane protein 125, with no coding region annotated. The transcript is spliced from 5 exons. NCBI's taxonomy places the organism in Eukaryota, Metazoa, Chordata, Mammalia, Carnivora, Canidae. The record is from RefSeq and is a predicted model, not a curated record.
GGGGUAGAGGUUGCAGUCGGAGCUGGGAAAUCUAGUUAGAGUUUGAAAGUGCAGCUGGGGUCGGGUUAGGUUUAGGCUGGAGCUAAAGCUAAACUGGGCUUGGAGCGGUGGGAUGAGUUAGGGUCCAGGCUCUGGAGCAGAUAGAGAACAUUCCUCCUGCUGCCCGGAUCUGGGAAUUGUGUUCGAGCCCUAACAGCGGCGGACAGAAGCCCCUCCCUUCCCAGGAAUGCCUCCAGCCCAGCAGAUGGAGCUGUGCCACGUCAGCCAAUCAGCUCAAAGCCCAGCCUUGGAAACACCUGUUGAUCCCCCUCCCCCCCCACGCACACCCCCAGGGCUUACCUGGACCAGGUUAGGCAGGUGAAGCACCUCCCCGGAAACGGAGCUGGAGCGCCCCACCUGCCUGGCCCUGUCUGCUCUGAUCGGAUCCAGCGCUUCCAGGCUUCUUGUCCUAGAAUGCCCAUUGGAAUUUUGAAGCGGAGAUGUCAGAUGACUCGCUCCCAUCCUUCAAGAUAAAUGUUAUUGUCCUCAUUUUUCCAAUAAGGAGACUGAGGUUCUAAGAGCCCUCCCCCAGGAGCCAGCGGUGACAGCUGAGGCCAUGUGAGUCCGAUCCUGAAUGAGGCUUUAUCUCUGCUCUUGGUCCCAUCAUCCACUGUGGCACCAGCUCCUUCGGGCCGCCGGGAUGGGACAGGCACCUGAGAGAACCAGAGAGGUGCUGGAGAGUGCGCCCUGGGCUGGGAGAGGACCGGGACCCCAGGCCUCUGGCUGCCGAGCAGCUGGUGGGGGCUCUAGGCCAUGACCCGCGCCCCGGGCCCCCUGGCUCUGCCCUGCGCCCUGCACCCGGCCCCCUGCCAUGUCUGAAGGGGAGGCUCCAGCCCCGCCGGGCCGGGGGCUGCCCCCCGACAUGCUGGCCGAGCAAGUGGAGCUCUGGUGGUCCCAGCAGCCGCGCCGCUCGGCACUCUGCUUCGCCGUGGCCGUGCUCCUGGUGGCGGGCUGCGGGGCGGGCGGUGUGGCCCUGCUGUCCUCCACCAGCAGCCGCUCGGGUGAGUGGCGCCUGGCGGCAGGCACGGUGCUCUGCCUGCUGGCCCUGCUGGUCCUGGUCAAGCAGCUGAUGAGCUCGGCCGUGCAGGACAUGAACUGCGUCCGCCAGCCCCAGCACGUGGCCCUGCUGCGCAGUGGCGGGGGCGCCGACGCGCUGGUGGUGCUGCUCAGCGGCCUGGUGGUGCUGGUCACCGGCCUGACCCUGGCCGGGCUGGCCGCCGCCCCCGCCCCUGCGCGGCCGCUGGCUGCCAUGCUCUCCGUGGGCAUCGGCCUGGCGGCCUCGGGCUCGCUCUUGCUGCUGGGCCUGCUGCUGUACCAGGUGGGCGUGAGCGGCCACUGCCCCCCGCUCCCCGCCGCCGCCCCCUCAGCCCGCAGCGACGGCAGCGUCCUCAGCAUCUCGGGACAGCUGUCUGCUGGCCAGCGGCACGAGACCACGUCCAGCAUCGCCAGCCUCAUCUGACCAGGCGCCGGCGAGCUCCCCCUUCUCACGAGCUGCCCAGCACCCACAGGGUGGGUGGGAGUGGGGGCGCACUUCCGGGACGCGUGCAGGGAGUGCGCGUGGACAUGCACGUGUCCCCAGGACUGCCCACCCCCUGUGGGGUUGCAUGACCUGUGCCGAAGAGCCCACGUGUCCCCACACAUCCAUGCCGCAGGAAGGCGUGCGCAGGUCUCCUUGGAACUCGGGGUUUGUGACCAUGGAGCAGUUGGAGUCUACCUGUCUGUCACCGGGGUCCCUGAAGAUCCUUGGCACCCACUCUCAACAGCCCUCGAAUUCAACCCUGCCUUGUAGCACCGAUGAGGGGUUUCCCAGGAGUGACUGUUUCCCGCCCCCAGAGACCACACCAGUGACUCUUCACGGACCACGAGAGUGGUCACCUAACUGGUGACCAGGUGGAAAGAACACAGGCUCCGCAAUGUGACAGGACUGGACUGGGAUACCCCAUCCACGACUCCCCAGCUGGGGGCCCUGGGCAAGUGACUUAACCUCCCGGAGCCUCAGGUUCCGAAGAGUCACAGUCGUGAUCGUGGUGACCAAUGGGACCAAGAUCUGGGGGCUCCUCCUGGAGAAACCUGGGAGCUGAUGGAUGGGGGAAGGGUGUUGCCAGCAGGGUGAGUGGAAACAAGAGGCCAUGUCCGGGAGCACCAAGGACAGCAGAGCCUCCCCCGGGAACUGUGGCAUCUCAGACCCUGCAUAUUCAACCUGGGAUCCCCUCGUCCUCAUCCCCACCCAGCUCCUCAUCUCACCUGGGGGGUAUGGCCUUCGCCCAGCACCUCGCUCCCUCCCCACCUCGUGCCCUGGGAACACAUCACCACCUGCGGACUCCACCGCCCACUCCCAGCGCCCUCCCCGGCUAUGCGUGAUUUGUGCAGCCUCCCCUGGGGGGGGGGCUCCCUACUUCUACUCUUUUCUUCCUCAGUUCACCUCCCCCCAACCCCACCACGUACAUAUACUUGAGCCACAGUGUUAGAGUAGGUGGGGGGGAAGGGGAUGCAGGGGGAUGUGCCCCACCCCCAUUGACCCCGGCACCGGGAGGCUCUUCACCCCUUCUCUUGUCCUUGAAAUGUGUGUCCCACUUGCCAGCCUGGCUCCUAGAAGCUGCCCCAAGGAUACAGCCUCGAGACAGUGAUGUCGCGAGGAGACUAUCUGGGUGGCACAGGACACUGAACCCAGUUAAGGCCUCGGUGUAAGAUCUGACAGGCAGGUGCUGAGAUCUACUCACCCCCACCUCCCCGAGAGUCACCAGAAAAAGCCUCAGAAGUAAGUUCCCGUGCCCCUUACACCUGCCAGCCCCCAACCUGUCCCCGUCUUUGUCUUGGGUCUCUUCCUGCCCCCCAAGGGCCAGGGCCAAUUUCAGGUUACACCCAGGAAGCUCCAGGUUGCAACCCAGUGCUGUCCUUAUAGGGAAACUUACAGUAUCCCCCCCACGACACACCUGUCCCCCUAGACUAACAAGGUGCCCAUUUCCUACGUCCAUACAUACCCCCAACUGUAGACGCCAGUCUGCACUUCCUUCCCUGCGCGCCUGUCUCCUUAGUCAGGUGGUUAGCUCCUGCUGGCAGGACAUGGGUGUCGCUUCUCUGCACAUCCCUUAUUCCCAAGGUGGGCCUGACGCAUAGUGGGUGCUUUACUGGGGGGGUGAAGGGCUCAGCUUGGUUGGAUGGCAGUGUGUAUACCCUACCCAGAACAAGGACAGGUCGAGAACUUAGGCCACUGUCCACUCCUGGCCCUGAAUCUUUCUGUCCCUGAAUCCUCCCUCUUCCAGGGCUCCCAAGAGGGAGCCGCCAUUCUCAUCAGAGGACCACAGACUGCCUCUCCAUCCGUUCAUGUGGGGAGAAUUCCUGUUUCUUUUUAGCUGAAACAGGGUUAGACUCUUUCAUGAGAUUUCCUUUAAAAAAAACUAAAGGAAAAAAAUAAAAAUAAAAAAAACUAAAGGAAGGGAGACGCCUGGGUGGCUCAGUGGUUGAGCAUCUGCCUUUGGCUCAGGUUGUGAUCCCGGGGU